RNA transcript from Oncorhynchus keta (chum salmon), 2072 nucleotides. It is a transcript of the gene named annexin A2-A-like, with no coding region annotated. The record is from RefSeq and is a predicted model, not a curated record. The transcript has 13 exons. Lineage: Eukaryota; Metazoa; Chordata; Actinopteri; Salmoniformes; Salmonidae.
UUAGGGGCAGGAGUUGGAGCCGUGCUUUGAGUCAUACCAGUGUGUUCUGCCAGCGGUAUUUAACCAGCACCACACCCUGAACAGACUUCAUAACGGGAACAAUCUACUGCUAUCUCUAGGUCCUGUUCUCUAAGGGAAGUCAGCUAUCUCUAGGUCCUGUUCUCUAAGGGAAGUCUGUUCUCUAAGGGAUUUCACAAUGGCAUUGGUUUCCGAGUUCCUGGGCCAGCUCACGCUGAAUUUUGGCGGGGAGAGCGAGCCUAAAUUCCCCACGGUGGUGGCAGAAAGGGAUUUUGAUCCAGCUAAAGAUGCCGCCAGGAUAGAAACGGCUGUCAAAACCAAGGGUGUGGAUGAGCUGACCAUCAUUGACAUCCUGACCAGACGGAGCUACAUCCCAGAGGAGAGAUUUUAGAUGGGACGCCAUCUCUGUGUAUGAGAAGAGAUCCAAGAAGGAUAUGAUCACAGCUCUGAAGGGGGCUCUGUCUGGUUCUCUGGAGGCUGUAAUUCUGGGACUGAUGAAGAGUACAGCUCAGUACGACGCCUCUGAGAUCAAAGGAUCCAUCAAGGGUCUAGGGACCGAAAACCACUGUUCUCUCCAGGAGAUACUCUGUUCUCUCCAGGAUCAGAUUGAAAACGUAAGGAUUGUGUGUUUUUUUUAUACUUUUAUAGUGUUUAAGAAGGAGCUGGAGAAGGACGUGGCUGGAGACACAUCAGGAGACUUCAGGAGUCUGCUGUUGGCCCUGGUACAGGCAAAGAGAGAUGAGCCCUCAAAUAUUGUUGACUACGAGAAGAUCGACCAGGAUGCCAGAGCUCUGUAUGAGGCUGGAGUGAAGAGGAAAGGGACUGACGUGGCUACAUGGAUCACCAUUAUGUCAGAGAGAAGUGUCCCCCACCUACAGAAAGUGUUUGACAGGUACAAGAGCUACAGUCCAUACGACAUGCAGGAGAGUAUCAGGAAGGAGGUGAAGGGAGACCUGGAGAAGUCCUUCCUGACACUGGUGGAGUGCUUUGAGAACAAACAACAGUACUUUGCUAACAGACUGGGCGAAGCCAUGAAGGGUAAAAGUGCCAAGGAGAAGGUGGUGACCAGGAUCGUCGUGUCUCGCUGUGAGGUGGACCUCAUGAAGAUCAGGACAGAGUUUAAGAAACUGAACCAGAAGUCCUUGUACCAGACCAUCGCUGAGCACACUAAAGGAGACUAUCAGAAGGUCCUGCUGAGUCUGUGUGGAGGAGACGACUAAAGUCCAACUGGCACCAACUGUCACCUUGUCCCAAAACCAAUGCCUUGUUCCUAUUUUGAUUCAGUCUAGUGACACAGACAUUGAGAACUGGUGCCUUUACCCACAACACCCAGUAGCAUUAGAGUCAUCAUUACUCAGAUUGCAUCACCUUUCUGUGAAAUAUGAGAUAUCCAACAGAAGAAUUGAUAGUAAAUGUUUUUUAUGCAAUGUUUUUUUUUAAUUAAAUAAUUUUUUGUUAAAUAGUUUCCUUUCUUAUUUUUUGAAAGAAAUUUUACAAUAUUACAGAGCUGUUGUCUUUAGGACAUUUUUCUCAGAGUAAAGUCAGACAUUUUGAAUGGUAAUUGUCGACGCUUGAUCCAGCUAGUGUAUGUCCUUAUAUCGCCACUAGAGGGCGCUAGAGCAAUACCAUACAUUCCUGCUUCCUCCUGGCCUUGUUUCCAUGGAAGAGAGGUUGCUUUGAUAUCACUCUAAUGCUCUAAUAUCUUUAUCUAAUAUCUUUAAAAUCAGAUGGGAAUGUUGAGUGGAGCUUCACAAUGCUGUUUAAAAAACCUUUUGAUACUUGGGGGUAAUUUUUCAAGACAAGCAAACCAAGUUUUUAAGUGAAUUAUAUAAAACAAAUUGUUUGAUGCUGUCAGUCAGUUUAAAAUUGUAAUCUAUUAGGAGUUCUCCCUCGCUGUGGACAAUAAUCACAUUUUCUAAACUGGAACUUUGUCUAGAAAAUAUUGGUUCAAAAUUGCGACCCAAUAGACGACAGAAGCCAUACAGUAUAUUUGUGUUUAUGUAUCUGUAAACUCCGGCGAAUUCAUAAUAAAUCACAAUUGAUUCCUGUGGAAA